GUCCCCGUAGCUCAGUCGGAUAGAGCAAGUGCCUCCUAAGCGCUAGGUCGGAGGUUCAAUUCCUCUCGGGGACGCCA
This 77-nucleotide transfer RNA is filed under the name Thiopseudomonas alkaliphila. RNAcentral's name for it is "tRNA-Arg(cct)". It matches the Rfam family "tRNA". From Rfam's summary of the family: Transfer RNA (tRNA) molecules are approximately 80 nucleotides in length. RNAcentral also lists the same sequence under 1 other name. Lineage: Bacteria; Pseudomonadati; Pseudomonadota; Gammaproteobacteria; Pseudomonadales; Pseudomonadaceae. The record is from RNAcentral.